AGAGCGAACGCUGGCGGCAGGCUUAACACAUGCAAGUCGAACGGAUCCUUCGGGAUUAGUGGCGGACGGGUGAGUAACACGUGGGAACGUGCCUUUGGUUCGGAACAACUCAGGGAAACUUGAGCUAAUACCGGAUGUGCCCUUCGGGGGAAAGAUUUAUCGCCAUUAGAGCGGCCCGCGUCUGAUUAGCUAGUUGGUGAGGUAAUGGCUCACCAAGGCUACGAUCGGUAGCUGGUCUGAGAGGAUGACCAGCAUCACUGGGACUGAGACACGGCCCAGACUCCUACGGGAGGCAGCAGUGGGGAAUAUUGGACAAUGGGCGCAAGCCUGAUCCAGCCAUGCCGCGUGGAUGAUGAAGGCCUUAGGGUUGUAAAGUCCUUUUAACGGGGAAGAUAAUGACGGUACCCGUAGAAUAAGCCCCGGCUAACUUCGUGCCAGCAGCCGC
Molecule: ribosomal RNA, 445 nt
Filed under: uncultured bacterium
Lineage: Bacteria
Description: SSU rRNA
Rfam family: Bacterial small subunit ribosomal RNA
Source: RNAcentral